GCGGUAGCUCAGUUGGAAGAGUCAUUGGCCCGGAAAACCAAAGGUCCCGGGUUCAAUGCCCCGGUCGAAGCA
Molecule: non-coding RNA, 72 nt
Organism: Molorchus minor
Lineage: Eukaryota; Metazoa; Arthropoda; Insecta; Coleoptera; Cerambycidae
Source: the annotation of a GenBank genome assembly